RNAcentral lists this transfer RNA (77 nucleotides) under Bacteroidota bacterium. RNAcentral's name for it is "Bacteroidetes bacterium (sediment metagenome) tRNA-Ala". It matches the Rfam family "tRNA". From Rfam's summary of the family: Transfer RNA (tRNA) molecules are approximately 80 nucleotides in length. The record is from RNAcentral. Lineage: Bacteria; Pseudomonadati; Bacteroidota.
GGGGGAUUAGCUCAGCUGGCUAGAGUGCUUGCAUGGCAUGCAAGAGGUCAUCGGUUCGACUCCGUUAUCCUCCACCA